UGCCUGAUAGCUCAGUUGGUUAGAGCGUGGUGCUGAUAAUGCCAAGGCUGCAGGUUUGAUCCCCAUUUGGGACAA
Podarcis lilfordi (Lilford's wall lizard) is the source of this 75-nucleotide non-coding RNA. NCBI's taxonomy places the organism in Eukaryota, Metazoa, Chordata, Lepidosauria, Squamata, Lacertidae. The record is from the annotation of a GenBank genome assembly.